This 676-nucleotide long non-coding RNA is filed under the name Pogona vitticeps (central bearded dragon). RNAcentral describes it as "lncRNA (ENSPVIG00000003020.1)". Lineage: Eukaryota; Metazoa; Chordata; Lepidosauria; Squamata; Agamidae. The record is from RNAcentral.
AUGCUAGUUUUAGAACCGACAUUUUCAUUUGCAGAACGCACACUGUUCCUAUCUCUAUGGUCAAUACCUCGUCCAACCCCUUUCUCUCCAGGCGUCGCGCGCAGACGGCAAACCGGGCGCCGCCCAUCUUUGUUAUGGGGAAAAUGUUUCCACCGCCAAGUCUAUCGAAGGGAGGGAGGGGAAAGAGAACGUCUGCCCCGCCAUCUUUGUCAUGGGCAACGCAAGGCUAGGUCCUGCGUGAGCGCACGCCCAAGUUGUGGCCCGGCAAAGAGGAGGAGGAGGAGGGAAGAAAGCCGCCGAAGGAAGUGGGAGGUGUCUCCUCUUCCUUGUCCUCCAUCUCUCGAUGCCUUCAGCUGCGCCGUAGCUUUUCGCGGAUUUGCCUUAGGAGACAGCAGGGACUGAAAGAGAGAAAUAAGGUGGGUUUAUCUUCUUUUUAGCUCUGGCUACUGGCAUGUUGCUACCUAGCAUGUUGUCUAUAACAGAUUCUUGUGAGGGAAUGUGGUCCUCGAUAAAGCGAAGGCUGUGUCUGCCCCUGAUGUAAAAUACAUAGUUGAGGGAUGUAAGUUACCUGCAAGAAUAUGUUGGUAAUCGCUUAACUUUUUCCUGUCUUAAAUGCCCUGUUGCAAAGGUAUAUCAGGCAAAUAAACUUGCAAAAGGUGUGUAUUGGGAUGAAAGG